GGCGGCAUGGCCAAGUGGUAAGGCAGGAGUUUGCAAAACUCUUAUUCCCCAGUUCGAAUCUGGGUGCCGCCUCCA
This 75-nucleotide transfer RNA is filed under the name Candidatus Marinamargulisbacteria bacterium SCGC AG-414-C22. RNAcentral's name for it is "tRNA-Cys". It matches the Rfam family "tRNA". From Rfam's summary of the family: Transfer RNA (tRNA) molecules are approximately 80 nucleotides in length. Their secondary structure includes four short double-helical elements and three loops (D, anti-codon, and T loops). Lineage: Bacteria; Bacillati; Candidatus Margulisiibacteriota; Candidatus Marinamargulisbacteria. The record is from RNAcentral.